RNAcentral lists this ribosomal RNA (726 nucleotides) under Klebsiella planticola. RNAcentral describes it as "Raoultella planticola partial 16S rRNA". The record is from RNAcentral. Lineage: Bacteria; Pseudomonadati; Pseudomonadota; Gammaproteobacteria; Enterobacterales; Enterobacteriaceae.
CGUCAGUCUUUGUCCAGGGGGCCGCCUUCGCCACCGGUAUUCCUCCAGAUCUCUACGCAUUUCACCGCUACACCUGGAAUUCUACCCCCCUCUACAAGACUCAAGCUUGCCAGUUUCAAAUGCAGUUCCCAGGUUGAGCCCGGGGAUUUCACAUCUGACUUAACAAACCGCCUGCGUGCGCUUUACGCCCAGUAAUUCCGAUUAACGCUUGCACCCUCCGUAUUACCGCGGCUGCUGGCACGGAGUUAGCCGGUGCUUCUUCUGCGAGUAACGUCAAUCGCUAAGGUUAUUAACCUUAACGCCUUCCUCCUCGCUGAAAGUACUUUACAACCCGAAGGCCUUCUUCAUACACGCGGCAUGGCUGCAUCAGGCUUGCGCCCAUUGUGCAAUAUUCCCCACUGCUGCCUCCCGUAGGAGUCUGGACCGUGUCUCAGUUCCAGUGUGGCUGGUCAUCCUCUCAGACCAGCUAGGGAUCGUCGCCUAGGUGAGCCAUUACCCCACCUACUAGCUAAUCCCAUCUGGGCACAUCUGAUGGCAUGAGGCCCGAAGGUCCCCCACUUUGGUCUUGCGACGUUAUGCGGUAUUAGCUACCGUUUCCAGUAGUUAUCCCCCUCCAUCAGGCAGUUUCCCAGACAUUACUCACCCGUCCGCCGCUCGUCACCCGAGAGCAAGCUCUCUGUGCUACCGCUCGACUUGCAUGUGUUAGGCCUGCCGCCAGCGUUCAAU